GACAAGGUGGCCGAGUGGUUAAGGCGAUGGACUACUAAUCCGUUGUAUUCUGUAUGCGUGGGUUCGAGUCCCACCCUCGUCA
Galeopterus variegatus (Sunda flying lemur) is the source of this 82-nucleotide non-coding RNA. The record is from the annotation of a RefSeq genome assembly. NCBI's taxonomy places the organism in Eukaryota, Metazoa, Chordata, Mammalia, Dermoptera, Cynocephalidae.